Molecule: ribosomal RNA, 450 nt
Filed under: Triticum aestivum (bread wheat)
Lineage: Eukaryota; Viridiplantae; Streptophyta; Magnoliopsida; Poales; Poaceae
Description: partial small subunit ribosomal RNA
Source: RNAcentral
AUGGAGCUAGACGGCUUCCCACUUGACCAUGAGUUUCCGGAUGACUACGGGCAAGAGGAAGAAGACGAGUGCGACAUCGAAGUGGAGCCUUUGUUUGAGAACGAGCUCGCCAACCAAGCCGCCGGGCCAAAGCCGAAGCGCAAGAGCAAGCGCACGAAGGCAUACACGGCGGCCGAGGAAAAGCUUCUUUGCGAGUGUUGGAGGGACAUUGGACAAAACCCCAAGACCGGCGACGAACAAAAGCAUUUAACUUUUUGGAUUCAUGUCCAUUGGGAGUUUCAUGAGUGCAAGAAGUUUCCUCCUUACCAAACUGUGAGCAUGCAUGGGUGGGUUUCCAUUUCAAAGCGAUGGAGAGUGAUCCAACAAGAGUGCAACAAGUUUUGUGCCACUCUUGAGAGCGUCAAGGCCCGCCCCGUGAGCGGCAUCGGCAUGCAAGACAUGGUAUGGUAG